This 234-nucleotide long non-coding RNA is filed under the name Gallus gallus (chicken). The record is from RNAcentral. Lineage: Eukaryota; Metazoa; Chordata; Aves; Galliformes; Phasianidae.
CUCACACAGGCUGGCAUCUAGCAUGGGCUGUAGCAGACCCUAGGGAUACUGACAUCACAAUCACUUUUCCUUCCCACUUGCAGACAGUAGUGAAAAUUACCCCACACAGAACUAAAGACUGAGAGCACAAGAGACUGCUGUAUCUCUGCCCUCUGUAAAUCACCUCUGGGAGGUCACAAGCUCAGUACAUUCAAGAUGGAGCAACAUUCAGUGCAGGAGAACAACACAGACCCC